RNAcentral lists this non-coding RNA (24 nucleotides) under Arabidopsis thaliana (thale cress). Lineage: Eukaryota; Viridiplantae; Streptophyta; Magnoliopsida; Brassicales; Brassicaceae. The record is from RNAcentral.
GAACAGCUCAGGUUACUCGAGUAC